This 917-nucleotide long non-coding RNA is filed under the name Carica papaya (papaya). RNAcentral describes it as "long non-coding RNA (CPAP_LNC014756)". Lineage: Eukaryota; Viridiplantae; Streptophyta; Magnoliopsida; Brassicales; Caricaceae. The record is from RNAcentral.
ACUAGAUUGUACUGUCGCGGUGCCGAGCAGUACUGUGGCUGGGGCACCGGAUUAUACUACGGCGGUGGUGCCGGGGGGUACUGUGGAGGAGCAGGCUCGUGCUUGGGUGGCUCGGGAUCCGCUCGCUAUAGCGGUGGCUCAACCUGUGGUAGAGGGGGAGGGUAGGGUAACUCCUUUCUCUCAUUUCGGCCUUGCUGGGCAGCAAUGAUCCUUUCUAGCAUCUCAAAUAUUUUGUCCACGUCUUCCCGAAGCAAAUCAUCCCGGGCUGCUCAGUUUAGUGGGAGUCUUCCUCUCCUCAUCUCUCUGCACCUGCAUUUCACAAAGAAGGGUUGAGUAACGAUUAAUCGGUUGGUAUUUGUCUAAAUAUUAUUGUGUAAGGGACGAGUCCGAGGAACGCGACUCUGAUACCGACUGUAACUGCCCCAGAAAUUAAAAGGAAACGUAUAUAUAAAAAUUCUAAGUGCGGAAGUGAAAUAAAAUAUUUUGAUUAACAUUCCUUACACAAUAACCAAAACGUAUUAAAUAUAUGAAAGAAUAAGCUAACUAAAGUAAAUACUAAAAAUGAAUACUAUAAGGAAAACUAUAAAAUCUUUAGGCAUCUACUCGCCGUCUUCCUGCGGAACGGGUUCGGGAACCAAGUCCUCCUGAUCUGAAAUGGUUAAGUAAUGAAUGAGCUACACUAGCCUAGUAAAGAUGUCACACUAUCUCACUGUCACAGAAGUAAAUGUUGAUAGAAAACAAAAAGGACCAAUGGAGCAUAAUUUAUAACAAAUUCAUUUAUCAAUAAUAAAACUCUUAAUUGUCCACUUACUUCAGUGAGAUUCAUGAAAACAACUUAUGAAAACAAUAACAUUAUAAUAUCAUGGAAUCAUACGCACUUUGUAACAUAACACAUGUCAUACUUUUAAUAUUUCAAU